RNAcentral lists this ribosomal RNA (467 nucleotides) under uncultured bacterium. RNAcentral describes it as "partial 16S ribosomal RNA". It matches the Rfam family "Bacterial small subunit ribosomal RNA", at positions 28 to 507 of the family's 1533-position model. The record is from RNAcentral.
GAUGAACGCUGGCGGCGCGCCUAACACAUGCCAGUCGAACGAUUAAAGCACCUUCGGGUGUGUAUAAAGUGGCGAACGGCUGAGUAACACGUGGGCAACCUGCCCCUCUCAUUGGGAUAGCCACGGGAAACCGUGGAUAAUACCGAAUACUUCGGGACUUCCGCAUGGAAGACUCGAGAAAGCUCCGGCGGUGAGGGAUGGGCCCGCGGCCUGUUAGCUUGUUGGUGGGGUAAUGGCCUACCAAGGCAAUGAUGGGUAGCUGGGUUGAGAGACCGACCAGCCAGAUUGGGACUGAGACACGGCCCAGACUCCUACGGGAGGCAGCAGUGGGGAAUCUUGCACAAUGGGCGAAAGCCUGAUGCAGCGACGCCGCGUGCGGGAUGAAGGCCUUCGGGUUGUAAACCGCUUUCAGCAGGGACGAGGCGAAAGUGACGGUACCUGCAGAAGAAGCCCCGGCUAACUACGUG